Molecule: ribosomal RNA, 791 nt
Filed under: uncultured bacterium
Lineage: Bacteria
Description: bacterial SSU rRNA
Rfam family: Bacterial small subunit ribosomal RNA
Source: RNAcentral
AGAGUUUGAUCAUGGCUCAGAACGAACGCUGGCGGCGUGGAUUAGGCAUGCAAGUCGAGCGAGAAAGCUCCCUUCGGGGGGUGAGUACAGCGGCGAACGGGUGAGUAACGCGUGGGAAACCUGCCUUCGAGCGGGGGGUAACAGUUCUAACGAACUGCUAAUACCGCAUGACACUACUGAUCGCAUGUUCAGUAGUUAAAGAUGGCCUCUACAUGUAAGCUGUCACUUGAAGAUGGUCCCGCGUCCUAUUAGCUUGUUGGUAGGGUAACGGCCUACCAAGGCAACGAUGGGUAGCCGGCCUGAGAGGGUGGUCGGCCACACUGGGACUGAGAUACGGCCCAGACUCCUACGGGAGGCAGCAGUCGAGAGGCUUCGGCAAUGGGGGAAACCCUGACCGAGCGACGUCGCGUGGGUGAUGAAGAUUCUUGGAUCGUAAAACCCUGUCAAGUGGGAUGAAACAUGUCUGGUUAAUAUCCAGGCGGAUUGACAGUACCACUAGAGGAAGCUCCGGCUAACUCCGUGCCAGCAGCCGCGGUAACACGGGGGGAGCAAGCGUUGUUCGGAUUUAUUGGGCGUAAAGAGCUCGUAGGCGGCUUCGUAAGUCAGAGGUGAAAUCUGAUGGCUCAACCAUCAACCCGCCUUUGAAACUACAAAGCUUGAGUUCAUGAGAGGAAAGUGGAAUUCCUGGUGUAGCGGUGAAAUGCNUANAUNUCNGNAGGAACACCAGUGGCGAANNGGCUUUCUGGCAUGAAACUGACGCUGAGGAGCGAAANCCAGGGGAGCGAACGGGA